This is a long non-coding RNA of Cotesia glomerata, 407 nucleotides long. RefSeq lists it as uncharacterized. The transcript has 3 exons. Lineage: Eukaryota; Metazoa; Arthropoda; Insecta; Hymenoptera; Braconidae. The record is from RefSeq and is a predicted model, not a curated record.
UACUUUCAGUGUGUAAAAAAGUGCGCGAAAUGUAGUGAUGCGGUUGAGAAAUGCGCUUCUGAAAUUUUAUUAUGAUUUUCGGAGUUGUUAUAAUAUUUUUCUGGAUAAAAUAACUGUUUUAUAAAUUAAAUUUUAAACAAUAAAAUUAAUUUACUUAAUUGCGAGUUAAAUUUAAAUACAAACACAUAAAAUCAUCAAUAAUGUCGCGUGACAUUCGAUCGUAUUUUUCAUUUCCUAAAGGACAAAGCAAAAAUGCACCGGCAGCAAAGCCGUCAAAGAUUAACAAAAAACCGUUGUCAUCUGAUGAGGAAGAUUCUCAUGCAAGUCCAAAGAAAAAUAAAGCUAAAAAAACAAAAAAAACUUCGAACCAUAUUAUAUCAGACUCAGACGACGAGGAUACGGUGACA